RNAcentral lists this ribosomal RNA (250 nucleotides) under uncultured prokaryote. Its description in RNAcentral is "partial 16S ribosomal RNA". It matches the Rfam family "Bacterial small subunit ribosomal RNA", at positions 524 to 773 of the family's 1533-position model. The record is from RNAcentral.
UACGGAAGGUCCGGGCGUUAUCCGGAUUUAUUGGGUUUAAAGGGAGCGUAGGCGGGUAUCUAAGUCAGCUGUGAAAUUGCGUCGCUCAACGUCGCACCUGCAGUUGAAACUGGAUAUCUUGAGUGCGCACAGCGGCGCUGGAAUUCGUGGUGUAGCGGUGAAAUGCUUAGAUAUCACGAAGAACUCCGAUCGCGAAGGCAGGUGCCGGGGGCGCAACUGACGCUGAGGCUCGAAAGUGUGGGUAUCAAAC